RNAcentral lists this long non-coding RNA (7758 nucleotides) under Coffea arabica (coffee). Its description in RNAcentral is "long non-coding RNA (CARA_LNC007839)". The record is from RNAcentral. Lineage: Eukaryota; Viridiplantae; Streptophyta; Magnoliopsida; Gentianales; Rubiaceae.
UUUUUGGUAUAUAUUCUCUCAGCUUUUGGGGAUUUGUGAACGAGGGUUUUUUUUUUUUUAUUGAUUAAUUUUCUGUUUCAUUCGAUUCGCUGUCUAUUCUUGUGUGUUAAGAUUGUGGAUUUUUUUAAUGUAUUUCUGCUGAAGAAUUUGAAUGUGAUUGAGAUGCGUGAGUUGGUAUUGGCUAAUUUACAACGUGGAUUUGAGAAAAUUUCUGUUGGGUUUAUGAUAAUUUAUAUUGCUUUGGGAUUUAUGGUAUGUAUAAUGUAGACUUGAGGUUGUUGUUUCUGAAUUAGAAAUUUUUUUAUGCGGGUCAUCAUUUUGCAUUCAAACUACUUAAAAGAGGACAUAAUGCACUUUGUUUUGGUGCCGGUAACGUAAAUGCAUUGUUUUUAUUACCCGGAAAUAGUGUGAUUUGCAAUUUAUGUGUACAUUUGACUAUUGGUGGAUUCUUAGAUGAUAUUGUGAUCUUGGUCAUUGUAGGUGCAAUUGGUUCGUAUUCAACUGAGAGUACCUGAGUAUGGUUGGACCACUCAGAAAGUCUUCCACUUCCUCAAUUUCUUCGUCAAUGGGGGUUCGUCAUUUGUACCAUUCUCUAUCGUUCCCUGAAUAAGUAGCAUGUGCAUUUCGCAUGAAUGGUUUGAUAUCCUUGUUAUGGUAAAACAAUGCACAAUUGUUUAUUCUUUUUGGCUCUCUCUUUUCUGUUAUGAAAAUGUUCCUCUCUGUGGCAUUAUCGUCAUGCAAUAUCUGUGUUUGUUUGCAAUUCCGUUUUACCAAUUUCUCUAGUUGCUUUGUGUAUUGAAUUUGUAUUUUCCACUGUUCAGUUCGAUGCUUGGUUUUUGUUUUUCGUCGGGACGUUCAAAGUUUGCACCCAGAGGUUAGAAUCCAACAUGGGAAUCUUAUCUUGUCUGCCUACCUUUGUUGAGUUGUUUCUUACUCCUAUGUCCUGUUCAUCUCAUGAACUCGUGUUUGCCAGAUUGUACAACAUAUUUUGCUUGAUAUGCCAAGUCUUCUGUUCUUUACAACCUAUGCACUUCUAGUACUGUUCUGGGCUGAAAUAUACUACCAGGUUAGUGAUUUUCGUUUCCGUGGAAUUAUGAAUUUCUUUUUCUGUUGAAUUUCUUCUUUUAAUUUGAGCAGUAUGUGGUUAAGACUGUCUGAUGAUGAGCUUCUGGCAUGGAAUUUCGGUAGGCGCGUGCUGUAUCUACUGAUGGUUUGAGACCUAGUUUCUUCACCAUAAAUGGGGUGGUGUAUGUUGUUCAGGUGAAAAUUUAUAUCCCUUUUUAUGUUUAUCAAAGCUGAAGAUUUUAGCUAGCAUAUUGGUAUGUGAGGAUAUGUUCUGUUUCAUCACUAUAUUGCUUGUAGUUCAUCAUCUAACGUCCACUUUUGGUUUAUUGCUUAUUUUCUCCCACCUUGAUAAUUAUUUUUAUAACCUUGAGGUGUCCGGGAAUUCAUAUUUUGCAGAAAUUAAAUUCUGUUGAUUUACUUUAUACGACUGACAAAAUUAUGAGCAAAAUCUGAACUUGAUAAGAACUACCUGAUUCUGUUGACUUACUAAUGUCCUACUCGUCACUGGUAUGUUCGUAGGCUGCUCUGCUUGUGAAAAAUAUGCAUUACUGAAAUCUACCUGAGCAGUCCUUUGUGGUGUCUUUUCAUGCCUAUGUGCUAUUCUAUUACAUAUUUGGGUCUUCUAUUUUGACUUUAAGAAAACAUGAUCUUAAACAUGUUUUCCACCUAAUUACACAUUCCAAGUCCUGUGUACUAACAUUCUGAACUUCUGAUCAUGGAAGGCAGAAUGCAUCAUUAAGUUUGAUGUGGGUUCUAUAUAUGAAUUUUUCUCUGGAUAAGAGGUUGAUAGUUAUUUUGGUUUUCAAUUUUCAGUUUGUAGGAGAAUUCAUAUUGUAGUAGUGGAGAUUCAGUAACUUGGUAUUCUUGAACUUAUUAAUGAAGUGUAUAUGUUUAUCUUGAAAUUUUUGUGUACGAUGCUUUGUCCAAGGGUGUGGUAAAAUUGAAGCAGACAACAGGUGAUUGAUUCCCAAUAGUGUAUAGAGUCUAACAUAAGAAUCAAGUUAUAAAAGGUAGAAUAUGGUUAUCAACUAUAAAAUUUGCAUCUAUUGCUGGCUAAGGACAAGGUGUUCCACACUAAUUCUGAGCUUGUUAGUUAUAGCAUUCCACUGUAUUUUCCUCAAAAAAUGUUAUUGGCUAGUAUGUCUCAGAUUAUUUCACUGACUAUUUUUUCAAAUUCUUGCAGAUCAUCUUGUGGCUUAUCAUAUGGUGGAAGCCUGUCCGAGUUCUGAUCAUCUUGUCUAAGAUGUUCUUUGCAGGUUUUUGUAAUUUAUCUUUAAGUUGAAAUGGGAGCUUCUGUGUUAUCAAAACUAACUUCUUCAAUAUGGUAAUUUGUGUUUUGCUAGGCGUAUCUUUGUUUGCCGCUCUGGGGUUUCUUGUGUAUGGCGGAAGGUAUAUAAUUGUCUGUUUUGGUGAUUGAUUCCUAUCCCAUAUCUGUGAGUGUUUGUCCAAAGUGAAUGCAUGCAACUCAGCUAGCAUUCACGUAUAAAUUGUCUGUUUUGGUGACUGAUCCUUAUCCAUAUCUGCAAGUGUUUGUCUAAAGUGAGAGGAUGCAACUCAGCUAGCAUUCAUGUUGAGCUAGCAUCUGCUUGAGUUUCAUGUUUGUACAAGUGUUAGGUAUUCACAUUGACAAGUGUUUGUUCAUUUUGCAAAGUAAAAUAAGUUGUCUUAGUUGCUUCCCCCAGAAAAAACAUCUUUUUGUUGUUGUUAUUAUUAUUAUCAUUAUCAUUAUCUUACCCAGAGAAGUAUGAUAAACAACUUCAUUCUGGUGUCUCAAUAUAUCAAGAAGCCCAAAGGCCUUACUUUCAACAUUUCAAGUGUGAAUUCAACUGUGUGUUUUGUCUAUUGUGGAACAUUAUUAUUAUUAUUAUUUUUUGGUGUGGAACAUUAUUGUUAUUGUUUCAUAUCUGGACUUUUGCUAUUAUAUAAUUGGCUUUUGCAUAUGUUUUUAUUUUUCCCCCUUAGAUUAGGCUCCGUGUCUUAUGCCAUGGUUUUAGCUAUUUGGAAUCUGAUACUUGUUUUGUCAUGGUGUCAGUUGUGACUCUGAAUAUGUCAUUGUGUAGCCUAGGAGACAGUUUAGAUCUACCACUUAUAAGUCUUGUAGUCAAUGACGUGAGGAUGUUCAUCUUGGACUGCUUUUCCAUGAGCAAAUUAUGACUAAAAUUGUGGAAGAGUUUGAUCCCUUACACGUCAGCUCAUACCAGAUUUCUGGGUGGAAAAUUUUGUUGUGGAAGGUGAGAAUCAUGCGGGUUGUUGGACAGGUCAUUGUGCAGGGAUGGAUACUUGAUUUAGAUGGCUGAACACAAUAUAAAGUUAAGAAUAAUUGAUGGAAAAUAAUCUUUAUUGGGGAAGUGUGAAUAAAAUGGGCAUUUAACUUGGUUCCAAGUUCUAUAAGAUGAAACUGGCAUUCCAUGGAGGAAUCUCAGGAUUAUCCUUGGAUAAAGAUUUGAGCUCAGGUGUUAAGGUAAUUUUGUUGGUACAGCAACAAAGUCAUUCAAUGUGUUGUGACAUGCUUGCAAAUGCCAAAGAGAUAAAGAACCUUAAAGCAAGUAGAAGUGGCACAUAAGUGGUGCAUCCAAUUGUUAAUGAUAAGAAGAGGCAACUACUUCAAAAGCUUCAUGCAAUUUAUAUCAUGCAAUUUAUAUAUGGGUGAAAGGUGGUUCUUAAUUGGUGACAAGAGGGGCUGCCGGGGAGUGGGAGUGAAAGGAGAGAGAGAUGUGUUUUCAAAAGGACUGUUUCAGUAGAUACCUCUGAAAGGCUUAGUUUGCAAUUCAGUUUAUCAAAUUGCGGAGUGUAGGUAAUGUGGCAUCCAAAGUUACUAGCUGAUUAAUCCUUUUGGCAGUGAUUAAUUUAAUGCUGCUCUUCUCUUACCUAGAUUGAGCAUAGAGGUUGCAUGUCAUGAUCAUAAGGGUUGAAAUUGUCUGUAUUAAGCUUUAACAGGAUCUCCAUCUGAUAUUAUUUUCACUGGCACACUCUUCCCUCUUCAUUAUGUGAAUGAUAGCAGGUCAAUUUUGGUAGUUGACUGUUUGUCUGCUUUUUCUUGGUUCCUGAUACAUAAUGAUUAACAUCUUGGAGGAGCGCUAAUUUUUGGACGAAUCUCGACUUUUUUUUUAAUUGAUAUCUCCCUACUUUUCUCUUAAGCUUUCUUGUCAUCCAUAUCCUUGCUUUCGACUUUUCGAUAAUCAGUGCUCUCAUUCAUUAUUGAAGUAUCAGUUGAACCUUUAUUCUUGAUUUCAGCUUUAAAAACUCUUUUGGCUGCUCUUCAGAGUGAUUCCAACCAUAGAGCCAGAUAACACCAAACAAUGUCAUCUUUUAAUUGUCUAAACCCUACCCAAUUGAUAUUUUGUCUUUAAAUAUCAGCCUUGAACAGUUGGACUGAAUCGCUAAUAUAUCUGCAGACAUUGGCUUCUGGAGCUUUAUCCUUCAUCACUUUCCCCCUCUUUCCAUUCUCUACCUUUUUUUUUUUCUAAAUUUUUACAAGUAUUGUGUCCGACAUGCUGUGUUUUUUCCCUGUACUCGGAUGAAGAUUUUGUAAUGCAUGUUUUGGUUGAAAUAGGUAUCUGAUACUUUCCAAAUUGUAGAAAUGGAGGGGUCAGCUGCAAUUUUUGAUAAAAGUUUGUUAAAACUGAUAUUUUAGAUUGGUGGAUUUUCAGAUUUUCUUACUGAUACAUAGGUGGGAUGGGAUUGUCUCUGAUUUUCUUUCUGAUAUUUUAGAUUGAUGGUUUUUCUUUGAUAACUGUUGGAGAGAAUUAAUUUUAUGCAAAGGUGGGAUGGGGUUGUCUCUGAUUGUAGGCCCUAGUAUUUUGUAUUUCAGAAUGCAUUGAUUAUUCACGUGAGAUUCCAUUUUAUUUUAUUUGUAUUGGACCUUUCAUUUGCAUUGAACCCUGAACUUUCUUCUUCAUGCAGGCUCUUUUUAAUGUUGCAGCGGUUCCCUGUUGAAUCAAAGGGCAGGCGUAAAAAGUUACAGGAGGUAGGUCAUCAGGAAAUUUGUUUGUUCUGGUACUUCCUAUGUUUUGGUUACUAAAUGCUACAUUUAAUCUCAUUCAUUCAGGUUGGCUAUGUAACCACUAUAUGCUUUUCCUGUUUCCUCAUCAGAUGUAUCAUGGUAAGUCCACUCUAUAACUUACAAUUCUAAACAGCUAAGAUGAGUCAUGGUUUCAUGAACUCCUAUGACAUGAUUUUGGAUUGUGUAAUGUGGUGAACAAAUUCUUAGUACUUAAAGGAAUAAGCUCCCUGAAUAAUUUCUUAGUCCCAGGAUCAUUUUAUUCUGGUAUUAGUCCUAUGAUAUUUUUCACUGUUGAACCACUUACAGUUUUUUAAUUGUUUUGUUCAAUUACUGAAGCAGUCUAAUUGGUGCAAUCCUGGUGUUGGUCUAUGUUUCUAUAUUCAUAUAACAUCUCCUAUUGCCUUGUUGGGUACUACAGAUGUGUUUUGAUGCAUUUGAUGAGGCUGCAGAUCUUGAUGUUUUGGAUCAUCCAAUUCUGAACUUCAUUUAUUACCUCGUAAGUCUCCGUCCAUAGCUGGAGUGAUUGAUGUUUUGCACUUGUGUUUGUGUCUGUAUUUUGAACUCCUGUGUGUUGUCAAGUAAAUGCCAGUAGCAUUUCUCCUGCUUAAGCUUUUUAACUUAUUCAGAACUUGUAUUUUUCUAAAUUUGCUUGUUGGUUGUGAAAGUAAAUGGUUGCUUUUAUCACGUCUUACCAAUUUGGCACCUGAUUUUUAAAUUAGGCAUAUCGCUAAAUGCUAUGCAGUUCUUAUCUGAAUUUAUACGAUUAUAUGGAAUUUGAUAAUUUUCAUAUCUAAAAAUGUUUGAAUUCUAUGAAUAACAAAUACUGGAAAAGUAAUUGGAGUUCAGUUUGUGAUUUUCUUUGUUGUGGCUUAACUAAGUUUUUCUGGUGAUUAAAUCUUGUCACUAUUAGUUUUAAGAAAAUAUAGAUGUUUCUUGGUCUUGAACUAUAUGCCUUUGAGAAUAAUCCUAUAAAUAUAAAAAUACAAUGAUUGAUAAUGUUCCUUUCUUGAGAAUAUUAGGAGAUUGCUCUCAAUUAUUGUUAUUGCAUAAUAUUGAAUAAUGCCUUUAAUAUUGGGCAUGAAAUAUUGUUGCUAAUAAUUCCUACAAAUAUAAAAAUUUAGUGUUAAUUGAUUAGAUUGCUUUCUUAUAGCUAGCUUGUUUGGAUGGAAAGAUUUGAACAGAAAAGAUAAGAAAGGAGGAAAAGUUGACUUGUUAGAUGUUCGGGAGAUUUUCAUGAGAUAGAAAAGAAAGGAACGGAACGGAAGGAUAAAACCUGUGCCUACAGUUUAAAAAAUUUUUCCGACCAAAUUCAGUGCAGAAAAUGAAAGAAACUCGUUGAAAGCCUACUAAUACUCUUUAAAUACCCAGCUAUUGCAUGAAUUUGUAUUGACUUAUGUGCCCAAAAUCAUUCCAUUUCUUUUCAAAACUCCCAAACAACAUUAGAUUCACUUCUAUUCUCUUUUCUUUUCUUUUCUCUCAUAAUUUUAGGUUUCUCAUCCUUACCUUUCUGUUCUAAGCUCACAAACUAGUCAUUAAGAAUAUUUGAGACGAUUCUGUGUUAUAGUGCUGAAUAGUCUUGAACAAUGUUUUUCAUAACGGGCAAAAGAUUUUUGCUAUAGGUGUAUUUUGGUGUUCUUUUGGUAUUUUAUCUGCUUGUUUUUUGUUUGUAAUUCUAGAAAUUUUUUUUUUUGGCAAUGACUAUUAUUCUUUUUUGUUUUUGCUAUACAGUUAGUGGAAAUAGUGCCUUCUUCGCUUGUUCUUUUCAUUUUGAGGAAGUUACCCCCAAAACGUGGGAUUACACAGUAUCAUCCUAUCCGCUAACGGAAGAGACCUGAUAAACAGUUGAAACAAAUGGAUGAAAUCCGGUAGUGCAGUUGACUCGUGGUACUUUCUGGCUCAAAGAUGUGAAAGCAAAAGGGUUGCAAAAUGAUCAUGUGUAUGAAGUUUGGGAUGGUUAGUAAUUCUGAAAUACUGGCCUCUCUUCUUACUUAGCAGAUUGUAGAUCUGUUUUGAACUGGUAGCUACUGGGGCAAGUUAUAUAUGUUGUGAUUUGGCAGUGCAAUCAUCUUGCUGUUGUGCCUAUGGACGUGAUCACUAUUUACUGCCUUUUUUUUUUCAUUAUUUUGGUGCAGCUUUAUGAAUGAUAAUUGUAAACAGCACUUAUAUUAUUGCUAGAAAUGAUUUGGCUCGAUAUCAAUUUUUCAAAAAAUGAACCUCUGUGCAUCGUUAUGGUUUGCUUUUCAGGCUGCACUUUGCCCGGCUCCUAUACUUCAGAAAUUGUUAAUUUGUUUUCAGUCCCCUCAAGUGAAUGUAUAGUUAUUAUGCAAAGCAAAACAAAAGGAAAGCAGCGAUUAACUAAAUCAAGAAAAAAGGGGCGAAAAACACAAAGCAGCGAUUAACCAGUCAAGAAAAAAAAGGGAAGAAAAAUAAAGUUCUUCCCAGAUGAUACUUCUCAUCCGGUUGUGUGAUUAACACAAGAAAGCAGCUCAUACAUGAGAUUUGAUGAAUAUUAUCAGAAAAAAAGCGUUUCAAAAUAAAAGGUCGAAAGAAAUGUGUACCUGUUUACUCUGCGGCGGAGCUUUGUCCGGUUGAGAUGCCGUUCAAAGAAAAAUACAUUAUAGGCUCUGUGGUACAGAAGUUUUGCUCUUUGGUGGAAUGGAUGGUUGGUAGCUCUUUGGCUUGGUGAAGGC